CCCAGAAUAGCUCUUGGAAACGGGUGGUAAUGCUGGAUGCUCCAACUUGACGCAUGUCUUGUUGGGAAAGUGUUUAGUGGCAUGGGAUGGGGUCGCGUCCUAUCAGCUUGUAGGCGGGGUAAUGGCCCACCUAGGCUUCGACGGGUAGCCGGCCUGAGAGGGCGGACGGCCACAUUGGGACUGAGAUACGGCCCAGACUCCUACGGGAGGCAGCAGCA
Molecule: ribosomal RNA, 218 nt
Filed under: uncultured Gardnerella sp.
Lineage: Bacteria; Bacillati; Actinomycetota; Actinomycetes; Bifidobacteriales; Bifidobacteriaceae
Description: partial 16S ribosomal RNA
Rfam family: Bacterial small subunit ribosomal RNA
Source: RNAcentral